RNAcentral lists this ribosomal RNA (301 nucleotides) under uncultured bacterium. RNAcentral describes it as "partial 16S ribosomal RNA". It matches the Rfam family "Bacterial small subunit ribosomal RNA", at positions 509 to 807 of the family's 1533-position model. The record is from RNAcentral.
CAGUAGCCACGGGAAUACGGAGGGGGCUAGCGUUGUUCGGAAUUACUGGGCGUAAAGCGCACGUAGGCGGCUUGGUAAGUUAGAGGUGAAAGCCUGGAGCUCAACUCCAGAAUUGCCUUUAAGACUGCCGAGCUAGCAGGUGAGAGAGGUAAGUGGAAUUCCGAGUGUAGAGGUGAAACUCGUAGAUAUUCGGAAGAACACCAGUGGCGAAGGCGGCUUACUGGCUCAUACUGGACGCUGAGGUGCGAAAGCGUGGGGAGCAAACAGGAUUAGAUACCCCCGUAGUCCCUGUCUCUUAUAC